This 310-nucleotide unclassified non-coding RNA is filed under the name Hevea brasiliensis (rubber tree). Lineage: Eukaryota; Viridiplantae; Streptophyta; Magnoliopsida; Malpighiales; Euphorbiaceae. The record is from RNAcentral.
GCAGCAUGAGAUGUCAUACCACCUUUAGCUGUCAAUAUUCCAGUAGCUGCAUGCAUACCCCCAACAUCCUCUGGACUUGUUUCUGUCCUUACCUUCAAUCAUGUAGAAUCAUAAUUUUCCUCAUCCAUUCAUUUACAGUAUGUGUAAAUAAACAAUCAAAAUGGUUUGCCUUGCAUGUAGGGAAUGCAUGAGUUGUCAGCUUGAACCAGAUAUGUAAUUUGAAGAGACUCAACAUACCAAAAUGACGCUUUUUCCCUGUGUAUGCCAUGCUUCGGCAUCAUCAGCGCUAAACACAAUCUGCCCCACUGCU